This 253-nucleotide ribosomal RNA is filed under the name uncultured bacterium. Its description in RNAcentral is "partial 16S ribosomal RNA". It matches the Rfam family "Bacterial small subunit ribosomal RNA", at positions 524 to 776 of the family's 1533-position model. The record is from RNAcentral.
UACGGAGGGGGCUAGCGUUGUUCGGAAUUACUGGGCGUAAAGCGCGCGUAGGCGGAUCUGCAAGUCGGGGGUGAAAUCCCGAGGCUCAACCUCGGAACUGCCUUCGAUACUGCGGGUCUCGAGUCCGGGAGAGGUGAGUGGAAUUCCUAGUGUAGAGGUGAAAUUCGUAGAUAUUCGCAAGAACACCAGUGGCGAAGGCGGCUCACUGGCCCGAUACUGACGCUGAGGCACGAAAGCGUGGGGAGCAAACAGG